Molecule: unclassified non-coding RNA, 1307 nt
Filed under: Zea mays
Lineage: Eukaryota; Viridiplantae; Streptophyta; Magnoliopsida; Poales; Poaceae
Description: misc RNA Zm00001eb253340
Source: RNAcentral
CACUGCACCAAGCAGGCAGGCAGGCAGAAGCAGGCACCACCAACCAAUCUCCUCGUCUCCCACUCGGCUACCCACAUCCCCCGGAGCUCCACAAAAAUCUCCGCUCCCAGGCUCCCACCCGCGCGGAGGGGGCAAGCAGCCAGCAGCCGCGCGGCGCCACUGCCUUGCCCUCAACCCCUCACCCAAACGCCUCGCUUUGGCCGCCCCCCACAAGGCCACUCACCCAAAAAAUCUCCACUCCUCGACCGCACCGAGCAGAGGAUCACAUGGCAUCCGCCGUUUCGCUUCUCCUCUCGCCCCCGCGCCUGCUCCACCGCGACGGCACAUCCCGCCUCCUCAGCAUCCCGCACCGGCGGGUCCUCCUCGCCGCCCCCAACAACGCGACCCCUCGUCGGCUCCUGGCCCCCGCGCCGCGCGCCUCCAACAAAAACGACAACAGCGGGGCCGUGGAGGCGCCCGACCGCCUCGUGGCCGCGGUCGCCUACCUAUACCCGUUCCUCGACGGCGCGCACCACGGGCGCUUCCUUCUCACGCAGUUCCCCUUCUUCGGCGCGCUGCUCCGCCCGCUGGCCCCCGCGGCUCGGCUCUUCCACUCAUCGCCGCUCACGCCCUUCCUCCUCUUCCUCACGCUCUACUUCGCCGUUGUGCGGAACCAGCAGGCGUUCUCCCGCUUCGUCCGCUUCAACGCGAUGCAGGCCGUCGUGCUCGACGUGCUGCUCAUCUUUCCCGACCUGCUCGCGCAGUCGUUCGCGCCCUCCGGUGGGGUUGGGUUCGAGAUCUUCCAGAGCAUGGAGAGCACGGUCUUCCUCUUCCUGCUCGUCUCCUUGGUGUACGGCGGUGGCGCCUGCCUGCUCGGGAAGACACCACGUCUGCCCAUUGUCGCAGAUGCAGCGGAGCGCCAGGUGAUGUGACUACAAUUCGUUUCCUGCGGACCAUGUUGAUGGAAAGGGAAUCUGAUGAUAUGCAGAAAACAUCCCAAUGGUUCGUUGGCGCUUGCAGCAAAUCACAAGCUUAGUAUAAUUUACAAUUGCCUUGCUGUUUAUAUAGGUCUAGUUGCCGAUUGAAUGCAUGUACUGUGGAAGGUUGAUACAAAAACGUUGCAAUACUACCAUAUUUGUUGAAUUGACAAAUUUUGAGAGAGCAGUACAUGUACACUGUUUUACAAUCUGAAUUGCAUUUACAAAUGAGGAGGAAUGUCUGAAUUGGGGAGCUUUAUGACUACCCUCCCCUGAGCAGCUUCCUUUGUACCUGAAUGGAGGCUUAGGUCAGUAAUUGUGAUUUCAAUAUAAAUAAGAGCAUUCCAUCAA